GAGAGAGACAUGCGCGCAUAUCAAUAAGCGGAGGAAAAGAAACUAACAAGGAUUCCCCUAGUAACGGCGAGUGAAGCGGGAAGAGCUCAAAUUUGAAAUCUUAAAGGGUUUCCCUUUACGAAUUGUAGUUUAAAGAAGUGUUUUCUGUUGAGGUUUUGGUAAAAGUUCUUUGGAAUAGGACAUCAUAGAGGGUGAGAAUCCCGUAUUUGACCUUUACUUUCAACUUUGUGAUACACUUUCAAAGAGUCGGAUUGUUUGGGAAUGCAGUCCAAAAUGGGUGGUAAAUUUCAUCUAAAGCUAAAUAUUGGCGAGAGACCGAUAGCGAACAAGUACCGUGAGGGAAAGAUGAAAAGAACUUUGAAAAGAGAGUUAAACAGUACGUGAAAUUGUCAAAAGGGAAGCGUUUGACACCAGUGUCGUUUUUCUGAAAAUCAAUUAAAGAACUGUUUAUGCUAAGUUGUUUAGACUUUAUCAGCUAACUGUUUAGUUUUGAGCUUUUCUUUAAUGCACUUUUCAGUUAACAAGUCAACAUCAAUUUCUUUUGCUGUAAAAAAGCUUGAGGAAGGUGGCUUGAGAUUCGUCUUAAGUGUUUAUAGCCUCUUGCCUAUGCAGUCGGAGAGAUUGAGGUCUGCAGCGUAGAUCCUUCGGGGCUAAAUGCAUUUGUGCUAAGUUAUAGCAUUUUAUAGACAACUUGUUGACUAUGAUUUGUCUUGUAGCUUACUCGCUUAUGUUAUUUUACCUACGCUUAGGAUGUUGAGCGCAUGUCUCUCUCU
Molecule: ribosomal RNA, 773 nt
Filed under: uncultured Neocallimastigales
Lineage: Eukaryota; Fungi; Neocallimastigomycota; Neocallimastigomycetes; Neocallimastigales
Description: partial large subunit ribosomal RNA
Rfam family: Eukaryotic large subunit ribosomal RNA
Source: RNAcentral